Long non-coding RNA from Lontra canadensis (Northern American river otter), 293 nucleotides. RefSeq lists it as uncharacterized. The transcript has 2 exons. The record is from RefSeq and is a predicted model, not a curated record. Lineage: Eukaryota; Metazoa; Chordata; Mammalia; Carnivora; Mustelidae.
CUUGAAUAGAGAAAUAAAAUAUCAGUGUAAAUCAGGAUAUAUAACACCAGAUGGUAAAACUUCAGGAUCAAUUAUAUGUCUGGAAAGUGGAUGGUCUCCUCAACCCACAUGUAUUAAAAUAGAAUGCAAGUUUCCAGAAGUAGAAGAAAACUUAAUUGCUGACCCCAGAAAGGACAAAUACAGAGUUGGAGAUGUGUUGAAAUUCUCCUGCAGAUCAAGACUUAAAAGAGUUGGACCAGACUCAGUUCAAUGUUAUGACUUUGGAUGGUCCCCUAACUUUCCAACAUGUAAAG